GUAGGUGGCAAGCGUUGUCCGGAAUUAUUGGGCGUAAAGCGCGCGCAGGUGGUUCGUUUAAGUCUGAUGUGAAAGACCCCCGGGCUCAACCGGGGAGGGGUCAUUGGAAACUGGGGAACUUGAGUGCAGGAGAGGAAAGUGGAAUUCCACGUGUAGCGGUGAAAUGCGUAGAUAUGUGGAGGAACACCAGUGGCGAAGGCGACUUUCUGGCCUGUAACUGACACUGAGGCGCGAAAGCGUGGGGAGCAAACAGGAUUAGAUACCCUGGUAGUCCACGCCGUAAACGAUGAGUGCUAAGUGUUGGGGGGUUUCCGCCCCUCAGUGCUGCAGCUAACGCAUUGAGCACUCCGCCUGGGGAGUACGGUCGCAAAGACUG
RNAcentral lists this ribosomal RNA (376 nucleotides) under uncultured organism. Its description in RNAcentral is "partial 16S ribosomal RNA". It matches the Rfam family "Bacterial small subunit ribosomal RNA", at positions 527 to 896 of the family's 1533-position model. The record is from RNAcentral.